UACGUAGGGAGCAAGCGUUGUCCGGAAUCAUUGGGCGUAAAGCGCGCGUAGGCGGCCCGAUAAGUCCGCUGUGAAAGUCAACGGCUCAACUGUUGGAUGCCGGUGGAUACUGUCGGGCUAGAGUACGGAAGAGGCAAGUGGGAUUCCUGGUGUAGCGGUGGAAUGCGCAGAUAUCAGGAGGAACACCUAUAGCGAAGGCAGCUUGCUGGGACGUUACUGACGCUAAGGCGCGAAAGCGUGGGGAGCGAACAGG
This 253-nucleotide ribosomal RNA is filed under the name uncultured bacterium. Its description in RNAcentral is "partial 16S ribosomal RNA". It matches the Rfam family "Bacterial small subunit ribosomal RNA", at positions 524 to 776 of the family's 1533-position model. The record is from RNAcentral.